GACUCUUGACAAUGGAUAUCUCGGCUCUCGCAUCGAUGAAGAACGUAGCAAAAUGCGAUACUUGGUGUGAAUUGCAGAAUCCCGUGAACCAUCGAGUCUUUGACCGCAAGUUGCACCUGAAGCCAUUAGGUUAAGGGCAUGUCUGCCUAGGCAUCA
This 156-nucleotide ribosomal RNA is filed under the name Solanum tuberosum (potato). Its description in RNAcentral is "rRNA 5_8S_rRNA". It matches the Rfam family "5.8S ribosomal RNA". From Rfam's summary of the family: 5.8S ribosomal RNA (5.8S rRNA) is a component of the large subunit of the eukaryotic ribosome. It is transcribed by RNA polymerase I as part of the 45S precursor that also contains 18S and 28S rRNA. Lineage: Eukaryota; Viridiplantae; Streptophyta; Magnoliopsida; Solanales; Solanaceae. The record is from Rfam by way of RNAcentral.